GAACGCUGGCGGCGUGCCUAAUACAUGCAAGUCGAGCGAACAGAUAAGGAGCUUGCUCCUUUGACGUUAGCGGCGGACGGGUGAGUAACACGUGGGUAACCUACCUAUAAGACUGGGAUAACUUCGGGAAACCGGAGCUAAUACCGGAUAACAUUUGGAACCGCAUGGUUCUAAAGUGAAAGAUGGUUUUGCUAUCACUUAUAGAUGGACCCGCGCCGUAUUAGCUAGUUGGUAAGGUAACGGCUUACCAAGGCGACGAUACGUAGCCGACCUGAGAGGGUGAUCGGCCACACUGGAACUGAGACACGGUCCAGACUCCUACGGGAGGCAGCAGUAGGGAAUCUUCCGCAAUAGGCGAAAGCCUGACGGAGCAACGCCGCGUGAGUGAUGAAGGGUUUCGGCUCGUAAAACUCUGUUAUUAGGGAAGAACAAAUGUGUAAGUAACUGUGCACGUCUUGACGGUACCUAAUCAGAAAGCCACGGCUAACUACGUG
RNAcentral lists this ribosomal RNA (494 nucleotides) under uncultured bacterium. RNAcentral's name for it is "partial 16S ribosomal RNA". It matches the Rfam family "Bacterial small subunit ribosomal RNA", at positions 31 to 507 of the family's 1533-position model. The record is from RNAcentral.